ACACAAGCAGUAAAAAUUCACACUGUUUAUUAUGAAGUUAACAAAAGUAUAUAUGACAAUGCAUAUGGGUGUAACUGACAUGUCGUUACACUCCCAUUGGUUCGUUAAUAGUUACCAGGCAGAACAGAAAAAGGCGGAUGUCCAUAUAUGGGUUUUCUACAAGUUUCUCAAACAUUUAACAAAGUUUUUGUAACACAGUAUAUUUGGGUAGAAAGAACGAGUUUCAUCUGGUAUGGAACUGACCUUGGAUGCCAGACCCACACAGGCCUGGUAUCUGUAUGAGAGACAAAGGCACCUAGCACAGGGCAGCACGCAUCCAUGCAAACACAUAAGAGUUCAUAUAGCAUGUUUUAACCCUUCACUAGGGAAAUAGAAAUAUUCACUUUUACACUGUAACUAUUAUAAGGAAAUUGAUCAUAUAAAAAGUAAUAUUUACAAAGACAGAAGAGGUAACCCUUCAAUCCCCUCUUAGAAUCAUGAUUAUUAUAUGACAUGAUUCUUGAGUGAGGCUCCUUUCUUGUUCCUCCAGUUCUUGAGAUAUUGGACAUAAUCGUCGGGUCCCUUACUAUCAGAGGAGGUGACAGGACUGGUGGUUAUAUCAUAGUACAUCAGGGCCUUAUCAAUGCCUUUGGAGGUAUGCUGAAAAAAAGGCAUUCUUCAAAUCAAUUACAGAGAAGAACGCAGCAUCUGCAGGGAUUGCAGAAAUGAGGACGAUCACUGAAUUCCGGACAUAGCCCCCAGCUGAAAGGAUUUGCCCUUAUACCUUAACCCUCGAUGUGAUGGCCUCUUAGACGUCUGGAGUGUAAACUUUAACCACAAGUUCCCUACAAGCGUGACAGAAUGGCAAGCUAUUGCAGAGGACUUUGAGAGGCGUUGGAAUUACCCAAACUGUGGUGGUGCAAUAGACGGGAAACAUGUGCGCAUCUCCAAACCCACCAACAGCGGGUCGGACUACUACAAUUACAAGGGCUACUUUAGCAUUGUUCUCAUGGCGGUGGUCAAUGCAAACUGUGAGUUUAAUUUCCUGGAUGUUGGGAAAAAUGGUCAUUGCUCGGAUGGUGGAUCUUUGAAAAAUAUGCGCUUCUAUGAUAGGCUCACCACCAAUUCCAUUCAUCUGCCGCCUGUGGAGCAAACAAAGAGUGGCCUGGGAUUUGUGUUCGUGUUCUUUGCACUGCACAAACACAUAAUGAAGCCCAACCCGCAAAGAGUUCUGAACCACGAUAGGCGCAUUUUCAACUACCGCCUUUCUAGGGACCACAGGGUUGUUGAGAAUGCAUUUGGCAUUCUCAGGAACCGGUUCCGGAUCUUUCACAAACCCAUUAACAUGAGGCUGGACAAAAUUGACUGUGUAGUAACAGCAUGUUGUAUACUACACAACAUGCUCCGUCGCAAGGCCAUGAGGCAAAUGCCUUUGCUCCCAGCCGGACCGGAAGAUCCCAACCAGCCUGUGGUGACAGCGGCAAUUUCCUCCUUGGGACCACCUGCAGCAACUAUACGCGGCACUGCAAGGGCAAAAGAGGUUAGGGAAAAAUAUAAUGCAUUCUUCAAUGGGGAGGGAGCUGUGGCAUGGCAGGAGGAAUGUAUUAGGUAAAAGAAUUUAAAAGGCAACUUACCCAUUCGGCCUCCUCCAUGUCUAGACUUCCCUCCUCGAACUCCACCAUGGACUCCUUAGCAGACCUUUUCUCCAGGAGGAAGUUGAGAUCUUUAAAGUACCACAGCUGUGGCACAUACACCUUGUUUGCACCGGCCCCAGACCUCUUGGACUCCUCCACCUUGCGAUUUUCUUUGACAAAGACUGUCCGUAGAUUGGCGAUCUUCUUUCGGACCCAGGCCACCGAGGCAGCAGAGAAGGUGAGCUUGGAGUACUCCACCGUGUAUAAGCAGCCUCCCUCUUCUGCUUGUUGCUGUAGUCCAGUGAGGACGUCAGCCAUAGACACUCCUCCUCGCAGUACAGGCUGAUGAAGCCAGAAAGAAAGUCACAGUUCUCAUAGGACAUCUGCAGAAUGCAAAAAAAGGAAAAUUAAAAAAUAUGAAAAAAGUAAACUAUUCCGGUUAAAUAAAGUUUGUUUUCCAGUUA
Molecule: RNA transcript, 2077 nt
Organism: Pseudophryne corroboree (corroboree frog)
Lineage: Eukaryota; Metazoa; Chordata; Amphibia; Anura; Myobatrachidae
Exons: 4
Source: RefSeq, a predicted model, not a curated record